CUCCUUAGUCAUCUUUUGCACAUUUAAGUGUGUUUAUUGCUUAUCUCAUGUGCAUUUUUUGUAUGCAUAUGCAGAAGGGGUAAAAAAGGUAAGGAGGUCUCAAUGGGGUCACUUAGACUCUGUUUGGUUAGGGUUUUGAUUUUGGGGUUUGUAGGCCGAGUUGGGAACUUAAUGAGACUUUCCAGCUAGGGAUGGUGGGUUUAGCCCCUAUCUCUCCCCCUUAAGAGCCCUUAAUGCAUUCCAUAACCGAAUGAGCUUGGAAAGUCCGAAGGCUAAUCUGGCAUGAGUGCACAGAGAUAGAUAAAGAAAAUGAGAGUAAUAAUUGGAGAGAAAACCUAUUGGAAACCGUGCGCAGAGAGAGGUUGGGUUUAGAGACCCUAAAACGAACACAGUCUUAGUGAUUAUUCUUGCUUUUACAAAUAAUUUAGGAGGUGUGAGUCUUCAAUCGUAUACCAUGUGUACCUAAUUUAGCUGCCCUUCUUUUCCUUUAUUAAUAUGGGAGGAAACAUAGACAUAGUUGGAGUUGCCAACGGCCUAAUAGGCUUGAAGAAGCAUGACCAAGUGACCAACUUUUUUUUAUAAUUUUUUUUUAAAUCAGGGAUAUUUUAGGAGCCUUCUACAGGUACCUUACCAACUGAUAUAAAGAUGCUGUAUAACUUGUCUCCAUGAUAGGAAUUAACUGUAUUGUUCGACGUUCACUGUGUAUGCAUUUCAGAUCUGCAUCCAAAAAUGAAUACCAUGCGUCGUUGGAAUUACAUAUAAUAAAAUUUAUCACCAGGGAAGGUGUCCAGAAAAGUGAAAACGAUCUAGCUAUCAGUAUUUAAUCAUGCAGUAAUAGCUACCAUUAAUUUGAAACAUUUUAAUUGGUAUGUUAGCUGAGUUGUAAUCUGCGGUUGGCUAGCAGGCCCCAGGUUUUGAACCCAUUAUCUAUGCAAAUUGAUGUUAUUGUAAGUUUGUAACUAAUUUUUUUUUUUUACCCUGACCCAUCAAUCUGAAAAGGAUAUGAACCCGGUUCUUAAUAUUUGAAACCAUUUGUUGAUUAGAGAGAGAGACAUGGUACAAAGACCUAACUACCCCUCACUAUAUUCUAACACCAUCCAAAUGCAGUGACUUUUUUGGGAAAGAGUUGUCUGAAUAACAUGGUAAAUCAAAACAAAGCCAUCGUCUAUCACCUUCCUCGAUUGAUUAAACCCACUAUUAAUGAGGCCAGCCAGAAUUACCACUCCCUCUGCCCUUCUUCAUCACCAACCACCUGUCCAAGACCAAUGAAACUCCCCAUCUGGGUAGUAACCGCUCCACCUCCACAUCCACCUUCAUUAGACUCACUACCGCUUACGAGAAAAUGGACCAAGAACAAAAUUUAUAGAAAGCGAAACGACUGCAAUCAUGUCCAGAACCAUAUCCGUCGCAUCACAAUCACCAAGUCACUCAACUUAACUGUGGUGACCUCCUUCAUCCCAAGACUUUCAUUGGGCGGGUGCUUGUUGACAUGAUCCUGCAUCCAUCAAACUCGUAACAUGCUAUUGGUAUCUAUCUCCUUGAUGGCAUCCGCCAUCAACAACAGAUGAUUGGUUUGCUAUCUUAGUGUUUAGGUAGAGAUCCCUUAAAAAUAUGUACCUUCUAUGAGUAAUCCAUCUAUUGUUCUAUUCAACAAGCCACCUGUAGCUAAACUUCUUUUAUUUCUGCUGAAAUUAACAAGAAAAA
Rhododendron vialii is the source of this 1704-nucleotide long non-coding RNA. RefSeq lists it as uncharacterized. The record is from RefSeq and is a predicted model, not a curated record. The transcript has 2 exons. Lineage: Eukaryota; Viridiplantae; Streptophyta; Magnoliopsida; Ericales; Ericaceae.